UUAAAAUGAAGUUUGACUGGGCUAAG
RNAcentral lists this non-coding RNA (26 nucleotides) under Mus musculus (house mouse). Lineage: Eukaryota; Metazoa; Chordata; Mammalia; Rodentia; Muridae. The record is from RNAcentral.